AUUCGCCUGUUUAACAAAAACAUGUC
This 26-nucleotide small RNA is filed under the name Drosophila melanogaster (fruit fly). RNAcentral describes it as "piRNA piR-dme-1094845". The record is from RNAcentral. Lineage: Eukaryota; Metazoa; Arthropoda; Insecta; Diptera; Drosophilidae.